This 63-nucleotide transfer RNA is filed under the name Palaemon macrodactylus. Its description in RNAcentral is "tRNA-Ala". Lineage: Eukaryota; Metazoa; Arthropoda; Malacostraca; Decapoda; Palaemonidae. The record is from RNAcentral. RNAcentral also lists the same sequence under 2 other names.
GAGAUGAUAGUCAAAGAUGAUAACUGCCUUGCACGUAGUGGGUGCUAAAAUUAGCUCAUCUUG